This is a long non-coding RNA of Aethalodelphis obliquidens (Pacific white-sided dolphin), 88 nucleotides long. RefSeq lists it as uncharacterized. Lineage: Eukaryota; Metazoa; Chordata; Mammalia; Artiodactyla; Delphinidae. The record is from RefSeq and is a predicted model, not a curated record. The transcript is spliced from 3 exons.
UAAGGGGCCAGCUUCAUUCUUUGGCAUUGGAUGUCCAGUUUUCCCAGCACCAUUUGUUGAAAGACUGUCCCCUCCCCAUGAAGUGGGC